AGGCCGAUAGCUCAACGGGUAGAGCAGCGGUCUCCAAAACCGCAGGUUGGGGGUUCGAGUCCCUCUCGGCCUGCCA
RNAcentral lists this transfer RNA (76 nucleotides) under Pseudomonadota bacterium. RNAcentral describes it as "tRNA-Trp". It matches the Rfam family "tRNA". From Rfam's summary of the family: Transfer RNA (tRNA) molecules are approximately 80 nucleotides in length. The record is from RNAcentral. Lineage: Bacteria; Pseudomonadati; Pseudomonadota. RNAcentral also lists the same sequence under 2 other names.